This 84-nucleotide ribosomal RNA is filed under the name Plebeiibacterium marinum. RNAcentral describes it as "partial 16S ribosomal RNA". It matches the Rfam family "Bacterial small subunit ribosomal RNA", at positions 1450 to 1533 of the family's 1533-position model. The record is from RNAcentral. Lineage: Bacteria; Pseudomonadati; Bacteroidota; Bacteroidia; Marinilabiliales; Marinilabiliaceae.
GAGCGGCCUAGGGUAAAACUGAUAACUAGGGUUAAGUCGUAACAAGGUAGCCGUACCGGAAGGUGUGGCUGGAACACCUCCUUU